This 649-nucleotide ribosomal RNA is filed under the name Hydrozoanthus gracilis. RNAcentral describes it as "partial large subunit ribosomal RNA". It matches the Rfam family "Bacterial large subunit ribosomal RNA", at positions 1877 to 2523 of the family's 2925-position model. Lineage: Eukaryota; Metazoa; Cnidaria; Anthozoa; Zoantharia; Hydrozoanthidae. The record is from RNAcentral.
UAAAAGCGGUUGAUAAAAGUCGACCUCGUAAGGACAAUUGAAUGGCCGCGGUAACACUGACCGUGAUAAUGUAGCGUAAUCAAUAGCCAAUUAAUUGUUGGCCAGUAUGAAUGGCGCCACGAAGGCCCCACUGUCUUAAGGAAAUUCCCAGUGAAAUUGAAUUCGUAGUGAAGAUGCUACGUCCAAUUUGUUAGACGAAAAGACCCCGUUGAGCUUUACUGGGGCACUUACACGGCCCCGGCCUUCCAAACUAGGCUUACUAUGCCUAGAGGUCGGCCGAAUUUAAAUGGGUGGUUUAGAUUAUGUGGCAGCCCCCCGUCGGGGCAGAUGAAACCCCACUCCCCCAUGUCAAAGGGGCUAACCCCCCCCCUUGGGGGGGGACAGUGUAAGUAGGACAGUUUGGUUGGGGCGACCGCCUUUUAAAGAGUAACGAAGGUGCGCUUAAGGUGCGCAAAUAAUGACUGAAGCCUGACUGCGAGGGGGACACCCCGAGCAGACACCCCCAAGCCUGCCCUAAGGGCGGCGGUGGGGUGGGCCAUAGUGACCCGUUAAUUUAGAGUGGAAUAGUUAACGAUCAACGAAUAAAAGUUACCACGGGGAUAACAGCGUAAUAUCGUUAGAGAGUUCACAUCGACGACGAUGUUUGCGA